GAUGAACGCUGGCGGCGUGCCUAAUACAUGCAAGUCGAGCGAACGGACCAGAAUCUUGCUCCUCUGAUUUUAGCGGCGGACGGGUGAUUAACACUUGGAUAACCUACCUAUAAGACUGGGAUAACUUCGGGAAACCGGAGCUAAUACCGGAUAAUAUUUUGAACCGCAUGGUUCAAAAGUUAAAGACGGUCUUGCUGUCACUUAUAGCUGGAUCCGCGCUGCAUUAGCUAGUUGGUAAGGUAACGGCUUACCAAGGCAACGAUGCAUAGCCGACCUGAGAGGGUGAUCGGCCACACUGGAACUGAGACACGGUCCAGACUCCUACGGGAGGCAGCAGUAGGGAAUCUUCCGCAAUGGGCGAAAGCCUGACGGAGCAACGCCGCGUGAGUGAUGAAGGUCCUCGGAUCGUAAAACUCUGUUAUUAGGGAAGAACAUAUGUGUAAGUAACUGUGCACAUCUUGACGGUACCUAAUCAGAAAGCCACGGCUAACUACGUG
RNAcentral lists this ribosomal RNA (497 nucleotides) under uncultured bacterium. RNAcentral describes it as "partial 16S ribosomal RNA". It matches the Rfam family "Bacterial small subunit ribosomal RNA", at positions 28 to 507 of the family's 1533-position model. The record is from RNAcentral.